Molecule: ribosomal RNA, 76 nt
Filed under: Klebsiella pneumoniae
Lineage: Bacteria; Pseudomonadati; Pseudomonadota; Gammaproteobacteria; Enterobacterales; Enterobacteriaceae
Description: partial 16S ribosomal RNA
Rfam family: Bacterial small subunit ribosomal RNA
Source: RNAcentral
CCCUUUGUGAUUCAUGACUGGGGUGAAGUCGUAACAAGGUAACCGUAGGGGAACCUGCGGUUGGAUCACCUCCUUA